AUGUGAACUUCCUCCAUUCUGCCCCGGCGUGGACAAACAAGCUACUUUGGCCUUGCUGUGGACUCGGAAUCUGAUUGACUUCAACACAACUAGAUGCUAAGAGUGUAAGCUGGAACACCCCUGCCCUGUCCCAUGCCUGUCCCUUUGUCAUUCUGCCAUUAAGCUGGUUCUCAGCCUAGCUUCCUUCCCAGGAUGAUUUAUUCUGAUUUCUCUCAUUCAAUAAAUGUAAAUACAUGUGUGA
Molecule: long non-coding RNA, 241 nt
Organism: Grammomys surdaster
Lineage: Eukaryota; Metazoa; Chordata; Mammalia; Rodentia; Muridae
Exons: 2
Source: RefSeq, a predicted model, not a curated record